RNAcentral lists this unclassified non-coding RNA (500 nucleotides) under Hevea brasiliensis (rubber tree). Lineage: Eukaryota; Viridiplantae; Streptophyta; Magnoliopsida; Malpighiales; Euphorbiaceae. The record is from RNAcentral.
GAAGAGAAGAGGAGGACUAUAGCUCUCACCAAGCCAACUGUAGGAACAGCGCCAAGAAGGGGUGGCAUUUCAUCAAUGUCCAGUGUAUGGUUAAUUCCCCAGCUAGCACUGACAGGAUUAGCCGAAGCAUUCGGUUCCAUUGGCAUGGUUGAAUUCUACUACAAGCAAUUUCCUGAGAACAUGAGAAGCAUUGCUGGGUCUCUCUUUUUUUGUGGCAUGGCAGGUUCAAGUUAUUUAAGCAGUUUAUUAAUAACAAUAGUUCACACAACGACAAAUUGGUUGCCAGAAGAUCUCAACAAGGGAGGACUAAACUGCUACUAUUACGUGAUUGCUGCUCUUGGGGUCCUAAAUUUCGGCUACUUUCUAAUAUGUGCAAAGUGGUACAAGUACAAAGGAGGCAUUACAGAUACAAUCGAAAUUACCCAACAGGCAAAGCCAAUUAAGCCUUGAGAUAAGAUUUCUAUUAAUUAGAAUAAAAUAAAAUUAGAACAGUAGACUGC